Stegastes partitus (bicolor damselfish) is the source of this 707-nucleotide long non-coding RNA. RefSeq lists it as uncharacterized. The record is from RefSeq and is a predicted model, not a curated record. NCBI's taxonomy places the organism in Eukaryota, Metazoa, Chordata, Actinopteri, Pomacentridae. The transcript has 2 exons.
CAAGGCAGCGCGCGUAAGUUUCCUUUUCCUCUUAAUCGCGGGGCAUCGCAGCGAGAGGCAACGCAUGCCGCGAGCAGAGCAAAGAGCGAGCAGAGAGCGAUAAAGUGGAGCGAAUAUAAAGCUUAAGGAGAGCGUCAUUCGCUUCCUCACUCAGCUGCACCACGUGGAGAGGCAGAAUCUCUUCUUCACUCGGUGGUGGAAUUCGUGAAUAUCGGUCAGGUCUUCUACCGGUCUACCGGUCUUCAGGUCUUGAAGUCGACCGGUCUUUAGGUCUUGAGGUCUUCAGGCCUUGAGGUUUUCAAGUCUUCAGAUCUUCUGGUCUUCUUUUGAGUUGGAAAAGUGAUGCGAACCAGGAAGACGUUCCAAGAGAUGGCGAGCCUUCCCAGUGUGAAUCCAGAACCAGAAUCUACGAUGUGCUAAAAAGCAAACCCUCCGGUUGCUUUUGUGGUAGGAGUGUGCCGGUUUUAACAUCGGUACCAACACGACCCUAUAUCUUAAAGAGUGCACUCCAACGAACGUAGGGAUCCUUGAUUUUAGACUUGCAGAUCAAAAACUGCAUUUAAGCUGACUUGACUUUUGAAGCACUGAACACCGAAAAAGAACUUACAAAAGGACAUUUUAUUUUCUUUUAAAGGGCUGUUUGUUUUUUUUCAUACCAGUGUACAUAUUUUGUUCUUCUGCACAUUAAAGUGCCACUAAUUGUGAGA